Molecule: long non-coding RNA, 679 nt
Organism: Onychostoma macrolepis
Lineage: Eukaryota; Metazoa; Chordata; Actinopteri; Cypriniformes; Cyprinidae
Exons: 3
Source: RefSeq, a predicted model, not a curated record
GGAAGAAUGUCUCUAAAUAAGUGUGUUUUCCCGAAGAACCCAGCGUUACGUAAACAGUGAAUGCAGUUUGUUUUUUCGGGGCAGCAACUGAGUUUCUCAAGUGUGUUUUUUGACGAACGUUUUAUAAACAAGGCCCAGUUCGACGCUGGAUUUGCACAUUGUUUGAUACUGAAAGAUAGAGCGGUCCCAACUAUAAAAGAUCCCGGUCAUGAUUCAGAACUGCAACCAGGUGAAGCACAAGUCCUUCAAAGUCACACAUGCACUGAAGCCUCAGGAGCCGCUCUGGAAUGAAGGGUGCAAAGAAACGUCUGGAAAGUCUGGCAAGGUGAAGUCGAGGAAGAGCAGAGGCUGUAGAGCUGAUCUUGUUAUUGCAGGUUGGAUGAAAGCGGCAGGCGUUGAGUCAGGCUGAGAUUUCUGAUGUGUUAUCCUUCCUACCGCCUGAGAAUACACACACACACACACACUUCACAUUGCCAUUGCAAACCAAACAUCCUUCCCAGUAAGUACUGCAUCCUUAACCCAACCCAUCUCCAUUUUCUAAUUAAACACCACACUCAUUCAAAUCGAUAUGUUUAAAGAAAUAAUUCACCCAAAAAAAUGUUUGCUUUUUCAUCAGAACAGAUUUAUAGAAAUUUAGCAUUACGUCAUUUGUUCACCAGUGGAUCCUCUGCAAUGAAUG